RNAcentral lists this ribosomal RNA (253 nucleotides) under uncultured bacterium. RNAcentral's name for it is "partial 16S ribosomal RNA". It matches the Rfam family "Bacterial small subunit ribosomal RNA", at positions 524 to 776 of the family's 1533-position model. The record is from RNAcentral.
UACGUAGGGGGCUAGCGUUGUCCGGAAUCAUUGGGCGUAAAGAGCGCGCAGGCGGUCGAUCAAGUCGCGUGUGAAAGCCCCCGGCUCAACUGGGGAGGGUCACGCGAUACUGAUCGACUCGAAGGCAGGAGAGGGUAGUGGAAUUCCCGGUGUAGUGGUGAAAUGCGUAGAUAUCGGGAGGAACACCAGUGGCGAAGGCGACUACCUGGCCUGUUCUUGACGCUGAGGCGCGAAAGCUAGGGGAGCAAACGGG